GACGAACGCUGGCGGCGUGCUUAACACAUGCAAGUCGAACGGUAAGGCCCUUCGGGGUACACGAGUGGCGAACGGGUGAGUAACACGUGGGUGAUCUGCCCUGCACUUCGGGAUAAGCCUGGGAAACAGUGUCUAAUACCGGAUAGGACUCCGGCCUUCAUGGUCUGGGGUGGAAAGCUUUUGCGGUGUGGGAUGGGCCCGCGGGCUAUCAGCUUGUUGGUGGGGUGAUGGCCUACCAAGGCGACGACGGGAGGUCGGCCGGAGAGGGUGACCGCCCACACUGGGACAGAGAUACGGCCCAGACUCCUGCGGUAUGCAGCAGGGGGGAAUAUUGCACAAUGGGCGCAAGCCUGAUGCUGCGACGCAGCGUGAGGGAUGACGGCCUUCGGGUUGUAAACCUCUUUCAGCAUCGACGAAGCGAAAGUGACGGUAGGUGCAGAAGAAGGACCGGCCAACUACGUGCCAGCCGCCGCAGUAA
RNAcentral lists this ribosomal RNA (478 nucleotides) under uncultured bacterium. RNAcentral's name for it is "partial 16S ribosomal RNA". It matches the Rfam family "Bacterial small subunit ribosomal RNA", at positions 28 to 523 of the family's 1533-position model. The record is from RNAcentral.